Molecule: long non-coding RNA, 2790 nt
Organism: Oxyura jamaicensis (ruddy duck)
Lineage: Eukaryota; Metazoa; Chordata; Aves; Anseriformes; Anatidae
Exons: 3
Source: RefSeq, a predicted model, not a curated record
UUCUAAUUUGGCCAAAAUUCAUGAAUGGCAAUACCAGUCACUUAUUUCAAUAGCAUAUCAUAAAGCAGUUCUUCCAGCAGGACCAGCAGAACGGCAUAAUGCAUGAGGUCCUCGGAGGUGCAGGAUAGCACUCUGCAAUCCCUGCAAGUAUUACAUCCACUAGGCCUUUCAGCGUUCAACAGAUUUUUGUUAAACAUACGUGCAUUUUCCAAAUAAACUAAAGAGAGCUAACAGAAAGAAAAUCUUAUUUAGAACAGGGCAUUGCAAUAAAGGAAUGCAGGUACGUAUCUCCUGGGCCUGGUAGCUGUCACGGCCUGGGAGUGCACAGCUGGAAGAACCAUCUAAGCUCAGGCUGUGAAGCUUGUGGAAUUUGCUGGUAUAUGGUACCCUUCUCUUCAGGUCCUUCUGAUCCCCUGCUUGCAGGUGACUGCUCCUGUUGCAAGGUAGGCUGAAGGCUGUUGAGCAUCUUCCAGUCAGGUUUGGUGCUGCCUCUGCUCAGGUUGUCCGUCACAGGCUCUUCUCAUGGCAGGCACUCCCUGUGAUAUUGCCCAGGCCCUGUGCUCUGAAUCUCACACUGCUCUCCACCUCUCCCUCUUUUCCUGCGAUCAUGUCCUCCAAACCUCUGAAUGCUUUCCUUUCUUCAGGACCUCCUCUUGAACCUCCUUUCCUGAGCCCCUGCCUGCCUUGAAUGCCUGAGUCAGUCUUUCUGAUUUUGUUCCCUUCCUUUCACAGAGCCUGGCAAUGAGGGACCAGCAGGCCCCUGAAUCAGAAGAAACAACAGUGUCAGAAGUUAAUAACAACAUACAGAUGUUCUCCUGGUGUUUUGAGGAACCAUCUCUCUGAGAUGUCUGCUGCUCCAUCAGAUCUGUCUAAGAUUUUGUAUUGCUUCUUCACCUUUGUUCUGUCUUCAUUUGGAACAAGACUUUUAGGAGCGGUGAGCCCAAACAUUUCACUGAACUCAGAUCCUGGGAAUGAGCAUCCUGAUAUAGUGUUCUCAGAGGUCAGGACUGGAAGACUUUGUGACCCAAAUGAUAAGUUAUGAGGCUUUGGAGUUGUCAUUUGUGUCUCAAGUGAGCUGAGUGCAUGGAACUUAGAGGAAAAGUUCUCCAGUCCCUGCUCUUUCUCCAACCCUCUUAUCUGCUAAAUAUGCCCCUGGAGUUUUAUUUUAGAUUUGUAAAGCCAGAGUUAAAAAAUUACCUGAGGAUAAGAGCUAAAUUUUAUUUCUCUCAGAAAAGGAACCUUCAAAUGGUCUUCAUUGCUGUUACUGAUAUUAACAUUACAUGAAUGACCUUUUUAAUAAAGGUGAAAGGUGACCAAUCUAAGCUGGAAGAACAAUCUCUUCAGAACAAAGCAACCUCCUCAAACAUCUAUGAUCUUAUCCUUCAUGGUUUUGACUUUCUCUCUAACACAGAGAAUUUGCCCUCAUUUAUAAAAAGCAAAUGAUUAAAAUGUGACAUUUGCAAUUUGCCACUCAGAAGAAAAAUGAAGAGAAAGGAAACCAAAAAGAGAAGAACCUAAAGCUGUGAUGGACUCUCUGCAACUGCCUACACUGUUAAAUGGGGUCCUUGGAGGUGCUAAUUUGCAGCAGAGGUAACAGGGGUAUAAGACCAUUUAGGGAGUACUUGUUAGUAUGGGCUACAUAGGAAGACAGUGACCAGCAAAUUGAAGGAAGUGAUUAUCCCACUCUCCUUAGUUGGAGGGGCUACAUCUCUGCCCACUUUUGGGUGCCCUACAACUACUGGGAGGGAAUUUACAUAGAUACUGCAGCCAAAUUCCACCGGGCAAUGUCAGAUGCUAUAGCAGGGGAUAAUGGUCACAUACUGAGCUUGGGAGGUUCACGUUGGGUGUUAAGAAAAUGUUUUCUUUGGAUAAUGCAGGGCAGGAACAGGUUGCUCAUGGAGGUUAUGGGAUCUCCAUCUUUGUGAGGUUUCAUGUGUGGGUAGAUUAAGCCACAUUUGAUCUUAUCCUGUGUUGGCAAUAGCCCUGCUUCAAACAGAUGUUUUGUCUGAUCAAUACUUCUAUGAUUCUAUAUGGACAUUUCCAUUUGUGCUGCCCUGCCAUUGCUGGAGCUAGUUGGAAUGAUUAGUGAAUGCAAAACAUUUGAAAUACAUACAUGCUUUCACAAUCUGGUCUUUAUUGUCAGGUUUUCACAAACAAAAAACUCGAAUUUUAAUUCCCAAAUAUAUUUUCUACCAAAAUUCUUUUUCUGCUUUGUUCUAAAUUCAAUGCAGAAUAAAAGGUGCUUUUGAAAAGCUGAUAUGGAAUGCAACCAACAUCCUCUGGUUAAUGUUUAUCCUCUUGUCUUAGAAGAAAGUCUGGAAUACCAGAUUUUAGCCUCUGCUUGCUGUGUUAAUGCUUGUGUUUCAGUUCCCCUUUUCUUUCCAUCAUCUAACUUAGCCUUCAAGGUUCCUUUAGUGUAAGUAAAAAACUACUGGUUUAAAAAAACAUGAAGGAAAGUUAUGUUGCUAUGGAGAUGUUUGCUAUAAUGGUAAUACCUUAUUAUGCGUUAAGAUAAUAGAAUACUAUACUCCAUGAGAGGAAGACAUACAAACCUUGACAAAUGCAAAGUGUGGUAUUAUAUAAAUAUUUAAACACAGGUGUAAAACACACAAAAUACUCAGCAACAUCUCUUUCUGAAGAUUUUUGUCUAUAUAUACAGUGAGACAGUGAACAUGAAAUAAACAUAUUCUUGUAGAUGUUAUUUCAAAAUGUAUGUCUUAUGCACAUUGAUGUUAUGGCCACAGUGGUGUAAAAGCAAAAAGUGAGAGAGAAGAAGAAAUAAAAGAAUUC